Molecule: unclassified non-coding RNA, 1138 nt
Filed under: Hevea brasiliensis (rubber tree)
Lineage: Eukaryota; Viridiplantae; Streptophyta; Magnoliopsida; Malpighiales; Euphorbiaceae
Source: RNAcentral
AUCCUUACCACAUAGAACCUCGGCAAAUACCGAAACAAUCUUAGGUAGAUACUGAUUGUUGGGGCCCAGAAGCUCACUGUCUGACCUCUCCACCAUUGAACAAAGCUGUUCAUGAACAACUUUUGCUUCAAUCAAAUCACCCUUUAUUGGCAAACAGUUUAACCAUGCAGGAACAACCUGCGCUGAAUCAAUACUUUCACGAUGAAACUGGCAAAUUUUCCCCAAAGCAGAAACAGCGUUAUCAUAUGCCAUGACAUUUUCAGGUUGCUUAGCAGUAGGAUGUCGUAUCACAACAUUUAGUCUCGAAAGAGCCUCUCCAACAAGAGGUUUAAAUACAGAUCCACCAAACUCUGCACAAACUCCAAGUCCAUAUACAGCUGCCUGUCGAACAUCAGGAUUUAUCAUCAUUGCAAGCCUCUAAUACGAAUGGAAGAAAUGUAUCAUAGUAUUUAAGUGCUGUCUCACGACAUUGCUCUGCCACAUCAUCAAAAAUGCAAAUUGCAAUCCUCCUCUCCUCAGCUGUCUUAUCCUUGCCCCACAUAGGAGUUAGAUAGGUUGAUAGCUCAUCAAAGAAGGGCAAGAAAGAGGCUUUAAAUGUUUUUAUCAAAGUUCCCAAGAUUUCACCCACUUGGUCAAAAACAUCCUCCUCUUGCUCAUUUUCCUCUUUAAUCAACUCUCCCUCCUCAACAUCAAAGUCUUCGGCUUUGGUUCUCUCUGCCCUCUCUCUUUUCCUACUAGAACUAGCUGUGAUCACCUGUUUUAUCUCAUCUAUGAUAGAUCGCACCUGACCUUCAUCAACAAGUUGUCCAGAUAUCUGUAAGCAUUCAUUUAGUGCAUCCAACAUAUUUGCACAAAUCUCGGUAUCAGGCUCCUUAUGUAAUGCUUCUACCAAAGCUGGAAUAAUAUAGUCAGACAGCUGUUUUACAUAGGACUCAUUGCGACCUUGAGAGAACCCCUUCUCUACAGCUAAUUUUGCAGAACGCAGUAGCUCUGGCAUGGCUGAAACAGCUGCUUUCCUGACCUCUUCAUGGAAAUAAAAUUUCAGAAGAGGAACUAGGGUUGGGGCAACCUGAUCAAUCCAUGGAAAGAAUCCUUCCUUAAGCUCAUCUGCAUAGCAACAUAACAUGUUACAUGCAGU